Molecule: ribosomal RNA, 555 nt
Filed under: uncultured bacterium
Lineage: Bacteria
Description: bacterial SSU rRNA
Rfam family: Bacterial small subunit ribosomal RNA
Source: RNAcentral
ACACAUGCAGUCGAACGCGUCCUCGGGACGAGUGGCAGACGGGUGAGUAACGCGUGGGAACGUACCCUUUGGUUCGGAACAACAGCGGGAAACUGCUGCUAAUACCGGAUAAGCCCUUCGGGGGAAAGAUUUAUCGCCAGAGGAUCGGCCCGCGUUAGAUUAGCUAGUUGGUGAGGUAAUGGCUCACCAAGGCUACGAUCUAUAGCUGGUCUGAGAGGAUGAUCAGCCACACUGGGACUGAGACACGGCCCAGACUCUUACGGGAGGCAGCAGUGGGGAAUCUUGGACAAUGGGCGAAAGCCUGAUCCAGCCAUGCCGCGUGAAUGAUGAAGGCCCUAGGGUUGUAAAAUUCUUUCGACGGGGAAGAUAAUGACGGUACCCGUAGAAGAAGCUCCGGCUAACUUCGUGCCAGCAGCCGCGGUAAUACGAAGGGGGCUAGCGUUGUUCGGAAUUACUGGGCGUAAAGCGCACGUAGGCGGAUCGAUAAGUAACGGGGUGAAAUCCCAGAGCUCAACUCUGGAACUGCCUUUUAAACUGUCGAUCUGGAGCAGAGUA